GCGCCUGUAGCUCAGAUGGAUAGAGCACCAGUUUCCGGAACUGGGUGUCACAGGUUCGAAUCCUGUCAGGCGCGCCA
This 77-nucleotide transfer RNA is filed under the name Candidatus Orphnella occulta. RNAcentral's name for it is "tRNA-Arg". It matches the Rfam family "tRNA". From Rfam's summary of the family: Transfer RNA (tRNA) molecules are approximately 80 nucleotides in length. Their secondary structure includes four short double-helical elements and three loops (D, anti-codon, and T loops). Further hydrogen bonds mediate the characteristic L-shaped molecular structure. tRNAs have two regions of fundamental functional importance: the anti-codon, which is responsible for specific mRNA codon recognition, and the 3' end, to which the tRNAs corresponding amino acid is attached (by aminoacyl-tRNA synthetases). tRNAs cope with the degeneracy of the genetic code in two manners: having more than one tRNA (with a specific anti-codon) for a particular amino acid; and 'wobble' base-pairing, i.e. permitting non-standard base-pairing at the 3rd anti-codon position. Lineage: Bacteria; Pseudomonadati; Candidatus Omnitrophota. The record is from RNAcentral.